UCCCCGUUACCGAGGCAGUCUGAUUAGACAUAUACAACUAAUCACGAGGGUUGCGCUCGUUGAAGGACUUAACCUAACAUCUCACGACACGAGCUGACGACGGCCAUGCAUCACCUGUCACUAGGUUCCUUGCGGCACAGCUCUAUUUCUAGAGCCUCCCUAGGAUGUCAAACCUUGGUAAGGUUCUUCGCGUAGCCUCGAAUUAAACCACACGCUCCACCGCUUGUGCGGGUCCCCGUCAAUUCCUUUGAGUUUUAGCCUUGCGGCCGUACUCCCCAGGCGGGAUACUUAACGCGUUAGCUUCGCUACCGAAAGGGUCGAUACUUCCGACAGCCAGUAUCCAUCGUUUACGGCGUGGACUAC
Molecule: unclassified non-coding RNA, 363 nt
Filed under: uncultured bacterium
Lineage: Bacteria
Description: contains 16S-23S intergenic spacer region
Source: RNAcentral